CCUAGUCUUUCCGGAGAUGCACCGUGAUCUACGGGUACGGAGCGUGCCGAGGAAAGACAGAUAUUUUUCCUAAGAUUAAUCACAUCUAUUUAGUUAAAAAAGAGAUACAACUCUGCUAGUGCAAAUUAAUUCAAAACUCCCGAGCUCUUUAUUUUUUAAUUAUCUCAAUUUUACGAUAAUUUAUUUUCUAAAUCAAAAACAACGCUUCUUUCUUUUAUCUUGCAAUCUCAACUUAGCCCA
This 240-nucleotide long non-coding RNA is filed under the name Elaeis guineensis (African oil palm). RNAcentral describes it as "long non-coding RNA (EGUI_LNC024666)". The record is from RNAcentral. Lineage: Eukaryota; Viridiplantae; Streptophyta; Magnoliopsida; Arecales; Arecaceae.